AUUGAACGCUGGCGGCAUGCCUUACACAUGCAAGUCGAACGGCAGCGGGGGAGAAGCUUGCUUUUCCUGCCGGCGAGUGGCGAACGGGUGAGUAAUACAUCGGAACGUGCCCUGUAGUGGGGGAUAACUAGUCGAAAGAUUAGCUAAUACCGCAUACGACCUGAGGGUGAAAGUGGGGGACCGCAAUGCCUCAUGCUAUAGGAGCGGCCGAUGUCUGAUUAGCUAGUUGGUGGGGUAAAGGCCUACCAAGGCGAGGAUCAGUAGCUGGUCUGAGAGGACGAUCAGCAACACUGGGGCUGGGACACGGCCCAGACUCCUACGGGAGGCAGCAGUGGGGAAUUUUGGACAAUGGGCGAAAGCCUGAUCCAGCAAUGCCGCGUGUGUGAAGAAGGCCUUCGGGUUGUAAAGCACUUUUGUCCGGAAAGAAAUGGCUCUGGUUAAUACCUGGGGUCGAUGACGGUACCGGAAGAAUAAGGACCGGCUAACUACGUGCCAGCAGCCGCCGUAA
Molecule: ribosomal RNA, 508 nt
Filed under: uncultured bacterium
Lineage: Bacteria
Description: partial 16S ribosomal RNA
Rfam family: Bacterial small subunit ribosomal RNA
Source: RNAcentral